Molecule: transfer RNA, 67 nt
Filed under: chicken gut metagenome
Rfam family: tRNA
About the family: Transfer RNA (tRNA) molecules are approximately 80 nucleotides in length. Their secondary structure includes four short double-helical elements and three loops (D, anti-codon, and T loops). Further hydrogen bonds mediate the characteristic L-shaped molecular structure. tRNAs have two regions of fundamental functional importance: the anti-codon, which is responsible for specific mRNA codon recognition, and the 3' end, to which the tRNAs corresponding amino acid is attached (by aminoacyl-tRNA synthetases). tRNAs cope with the degeneracy of the genetic code in two manners: having more than one tRNA (with a specific anti-codon) for a particular amino acid; and 'wobble' base-pairing, i.e. permitting non-standard base-pairing at the 3rd anti-codon position.
Source: RNAcentral
CGGGUGUAGUUUAAUGGCAAAACAAGAGCUUCCCAAGCUUUCGACGAGGGUUCGAUUCCCUUCACCC